RNAcentral lists this ribosomal RNA (253 nucleotides) under uncultured bacterium. RNAcentral describes it as "partial 16S ribosomal RNA". It matches the Rfam family "Bacterial small subunit ribosomal RNA", at positions 524 to 776 of the family's 1533-position model. The record is from RNAcentral.
UACGUAGGGGGCGAGCGUUGUCCGGAGUUACUGGGCGUAAAGCGCACGCAGGCGGUCUGCUAAGUUUGGAGUGACAGUUGGUGGCUUAACUGCCAAAGUGCUUCGAAAACUGAGAGACUUGAGGGCUUCAGAGGGACACGGAAUUCCGGGAGGAGUGGUGAAAUGCGUAGAGAUCCGGAGGAACACCAAAGGCGAAGGCAGUGUCCUGGGGAGUACCUGACGCUCAGGUGCGAAAGCCAGGGGAGCGAACGGG